AAAAAGCAUUGAGCUCAAAUGUUGUGAAAGAAAAAUACAUGAGAAAAAGAAAAGAAAAGAAGAAAAAACAUGAAGAUGGGCUCAAUGCAAAAGAAAAGGAAAAAAGUUGGGAAUAAGUGAGAUUGGUGAGGAAGAGAGUUGUGCUUAAAUGUUGAAUACUAUGAUAGCUCUCUUAACUCAAGGACUUUGCACUCCAGAAAAACCAAUUCUUCUUGUUAGCCCAGCCUCAUUACAAGCCUUGGAAAAGUCCUUUUGAUGGCAUUUGCAUGUAAGAAUUUUUGUUGUUUUAGAUGAAUGGAAAUGUUAUUUCAUGUGACUUGUGAAUGAUAGAGUGUUGGAGUGUUACCCUAAACACUUGAGUGAUUGAGUGAAAC
This 374-nucleotide long non-coding RNA is filed under the name Vigna radiata. RNAcentral's name for it is "long non-coding RNA (VRAD_LNC006474)". The record is from RNAcentral. Lineage: Eukaryota; Viridiplantae; Streptophyta; Magnoliopsida; Fabales; Fabaceae.